UCUCUUUACCUUCUUCCUAAAGGAUCUCUCUCCAAAUACAGUCACCCUAGGGCUUCUUUGCAAAUACGAGAGGGACAUCCUGCAGUCCAGAACAGACAUGUCAUAGACAAACCCUCCACUAAAUCAAUAAAAAGGUUGUCCACUGCCUGCUUUUUCCUCCCAAGGAAGAAUUUUAAAAAUUUCAUCAGAUCAACAACAGCUAUGGCAGCAAACAUUUUUCAGCUGAGUCCUGCUGGGAUAACGGCUCUCCCAUGAUGCCAAGCGGCUCUGCUGUGAAGGACAGAAGUGAGGAUUUGCUUACGACAUCCAAAUAUGGUGAAUCCAUUUGCUCCGAGUUGACAAAUGAACUGGAGGUCCCAGGUUUCCUGAUUCAUCGYCUGUUGUCCCCAUUACCACCACCGCGUCUGACUGACUCACUGACAUCACAGUCCUGGGAACCACAGCGGGCCCCACAACAAAGAUGAAAGGGGAGAAAGAGGAUCUCACUAAUCGUCUCCAGAGCUGUAGCCCAGUGGGCGAAGGUCGUGAUAAAGGACGGGGCGGGAAGAGAUUAGAGGACCGCACAUGAAAGGGGUUGAAAAACAUCACCCAGUCACGAAGAAAAGAAAAUGSACCCCUGUUUCAGAGGGAGUCCCCACAACGUGCCCUUCCCUUUCGCAAUGACAUCAGAAGACUUUAUAUCAGACUGUUUUCUGUCAAAUGCUGGACCCCGACAGAUUCUGGCAUAUGGAAUGUGGUUUGUCUUUUAAUUCACUGGGGUUUUCUCACUCAGCUUCACCAAAUGGUGGCUGUAAUUAUGGCAGUAAAUGUCUCUCAAAUGACAGAUCUCUCUCUCUCUCUUUUUCUUCCUCCUUAAAAGAGUGAACAUUUUAACAAGGAUGUCGGGGAUAACAGAAAGAAACACACACUCCAAGGGCUUCUUAGACGGCAAGCCAUUUCACGACUCAGAAAGGA
This 954-nucleotide long non-coding RNA is filed under the name Urocitellus parryii (Arctic ground squirrel). RNAcentral's name for it is "lncRNA (ENSUPAG00010000632.1)". The record is from RNAcentral. Lineage: Eukaryota; Metazoa; Chordata; Mammalia; Rodentia; Sciuridae.